GUGACUGGAGGAUGAUGGCUGAUAUUGGCCAACAGCUGGUUUUUCCUCCAGAAAUUGCUACAACCACCCUGAGACCUGACCUGGUGCUGUGGUCCCCUUCCCUAAAGAAGGUGUACAUCAUCGAGCUCACAGUACCCUGGGAGGACGCAGUGGAUGAGGGGUAUGAGCAAAAACACCUACGCUACGCCGAUCUCGCUGCUGAAGCACAACACCGUGGCUGGAGCGCUGAAGUCCGCCCAGUGGAGGUGGGAUGUAGAGGAUUUGUGGCAAGAUCUACCACCAGACUGUUCGCUGACCUGGGAGUCAGAGGCCAGAACCAGCGCUCAGCCAUCAAAGCUACAUCGGAGGCAGCUGAAAGAAGCAGCCAGUGGCUUUUCAUGAGGCGGAAGGACCCCUGUUGGGCCCCGAAGUAGCAAGCCUUCAGGUAUGCGGUCAGCUUCGGCUUGACUCAGGGAGUAGGACGCCCCUGCCUUGCAUAGUCCCACGAGAGAAGGUACCAUCUAUCUCGUGACGAGUCUGGACUCACGCAAGCACAGGUCUGAUCAGCCUGUAGCUGGUCACCUUGGGGAGGGUGUAUAGUGUGGAGGCCGAAACAUCCCAGGA
This is a non-coding RNA of Xyrichtys novacula (pearly razorfish), 603 nucleotides long. NCBI's taxonomy places the organism in Eukaryota, Metazoa, Chordata, Actinopteri, Labriformes, Labridae. The record is from the annotation of a GenBank genome assembly.